This 598-nucleotide small RNA is filed under the name Desulfotomaculum copahuensis. Lineage: Bacteria; Bacillati; Bacillota; Clostridia; Eubacteriales; Desulfotomaculaceae. The record is from RNAcentral.
GUUACCCUUGGGGUAAGUGACGCAGUAUCCUAGUCAGGUAUGCCUUUUUUGAAGACGGGCCUAAAAAUCCGUCGCGGGCACAUCGAUGAAGUUCCUGGUGUUGGCUGCCGACGCCCAGUCGGGGGCUGGUACUGGGGGUUAAGGAAAUGGGGCGACCCGCAAUGGCAUGCGGGCGUUGACCCUGUUUCCGUGGAGACCCAAGUGCGUGGUGUUAAAGCUAUGGCUUGGGGUGUGAACCUGCAUGUGGUGGGGAGCUGCGUGCAGUGUAGCCUGCCUUGAGUGGUGACGGUGGAUGUCCUGCGUGCCGGCUGCCGGACCAUGGGCCCAUGGGCGGCUGACGGCGGGCUGAAACCGCCAUUGCAAAAGAGGCUAGGAAAAGGCCAACCUGCUGAGGAAAACUCCUAGGCUGUCGAAUAGGGCGGCGCGGGGAUUGCAGUGUGGACUCAGUGGUAAUCCAGUCCCGGGACGGUCGGCGUUCCGGAAACAAUCCGAAGGGGAAACCACCGGUUUGGCGACAGCCGGCGAUUGUUUGGGAAAACCUGCUGGACCUCAAGCCACAAUAUUUACCCGCGCUGCUGUCACUUACCCUUUUACAUAC